UUCAAAAUCCUUUUUCCACUUGCAAUUUAAUAAACUGCAGUUCAAAAUCCUUUUUCCACUUGCAAUUUAAUAAACUGCAGUUCAAAAUCCAUUUCCCUUUCCUGUUCGCUCCGGGAUUAGGUGCUGGAUUAGCUGCUGGAUUAGCUGCUGGAUUAGCUCUUCGAUUAACAACUUGCUGGAGGCUAUUCAAAUUAGCCACACUGUGGGAUGUAAGGAGCUCUCUGAUUGGUUGGUCAGACACAGGCUGUCUGCCAGCCUGGAUUUUUCUAGCUCAUAGCUUCGCCCUGCUAAGAAGCGUGUGUGCUUGUACAAAGGCCGUUCAGCCUCGGGAUUUACACUCGGCUCGACUCGGAUAUGUGAAGAAUGAAGGGACCCUGCAGCGAAACGGAGAGCGCAACCUCUGACUGAGUGCCUGUCUACACAGUCUGACCACCUGUUGAAGGGCUGUUUGAUGACGAUUUGGACUCCUCUGGGAGAUGAGGACACACCCACAUCUGUUCCAUACUGCAGCCAUGGAUGGUGUUACAGCUCUGAGUCAGCUUUGGGCCAUCAGACGCACACACUGGAAAACCAGCACCUGGACUUCAUGCAGGAGAGAUGGCCUCAGUGAUGUAGGUUCAUAAAAUUCAUCAGCAGCUGUGAAGAGAUGCAUUUGAAUAUCUUCUGGUUCCACUUUUCCUAACCUGGAAGCUGAGGAUGGCUGAUUUCUGACAAGGACACACACCUCAGCGCUUAUCAUGGGUGUUACAUCCUCCGUGCAGCAAUUCCAGAGAAAACGAGAGAGCAACGACCACUCAUUAAGACCAGACAGAAAUCUGUCCCUUUUUGGCAGCUGUGGAAACUUCCAAUAAGAAAGUUUGCAUUCUUAGAACAAUGCUGGGUCGUGUGUGAUGUGUCAUCAUAUGAGGAUAUUACAUUUUGACUUAAUUCUGCUCAAUUAAGUGUUUUGAUCGUUGAUCCAGUAUAGCAGCUUUGUGUUGUGCAGCAAGUUAAAACCCAUUGUCCUCACGAGCACAGCAUCUAACAACUCUCCUUAAAAAAACCGAAUGACUUUAACUGGACACAAUGGUUUCCAGUGGGAGAUACAUUCAUCACUCAUCCGUGACACUGGAGAAGUCACCUGGAUGAGUGAUAAAACAAUUUUCCAUGGAAAAUCCAGAGGAACUAAACUUUGUUGUUGUUUCUCUGGGCUCAAUUUCAGCCUCAGGAGCAUCUCUCAGAAGAAAACAUUUUGCCAAUAAUCAGAUAAAAAGAUUGUUGAACCAGGUGGUAUUCUCUGGAGUUUAAGACCAAAACUGAACUCAGUGAAUUGACAUUAGACUGGAAUUCAUAAGAUGAAUCGAAAUACUGCUGAAGCUGAUAUAUAUAUAUAUAUAUAUAAUAUAUAUA
Pelmatolapia mariae (spotted tilapia) is the source of this 1389-nucleotide long non-coding RNA. RefSeq lists it as uncharacterized. Lineage: Eukaryota; Metazoa; Chordata; Actinopteri; Cichliformes; Cichlidae. The record is from RefSeq and is a predicted model, not a curated record. The transcript is spliced from 3 exons.